GUAAUUCGAGAAAGUAGCAUGGUA
RNAcentral lists this non-coding RNA (24 nucleotides) under Arabidopsis thaliana (thale cress). The record is from RNAcentral. Lineage: Eukaryota; Viridiplantae; Streptophyta; Magnoliopsida; Brassicales; Brassicaceae.